GGGGGAGAGGGUACCAGCCUGCUGUGGAGGAAGAGAGGCUGACUGAGCCCUUGGAUUCAGCCAGCCUGCACUGCUGGCUGUGUGACCCAGCCUUCAGGAGAGGAGACAUCAGCAGGCUGAGGAGCCCAGCCUCAGGUCGGGGGGUCCACCAGUGCCCUGUUGUCUCAAGAAAGCCCAGCAUCACAAGGGUGAGCAUUUCUGCUUAGGGGGAGGCCUUGAGCACUGAGGGUGAAGAGUUGGAUGGAUGGACGAAAGCCGGUGUCCUGCAUAGGCCCAGCUUCCUCAGGUGGAGGCAGCCGCGUCCCCAUGGCACCUCAGCCCAGGCCGGGGGGUCCAGGAGCAGAGUGAGUCGGGGAAGACACCAGAGAAGGCAAUCACAGCUCUGCUUGGCUCCGCUCCACUCCACGGCUGCUGAG
RNAcentral lists this long non-coding RNA (416 nucleotides) under Heterocephalus glaber (naked mole-rat). RNAcentral's name for it is "lncRNA (ENSHGLG00000043506.1)". The record is from RNAcentral. Lineage: Eukaryota; Metazoa; Chordata; Mammalia; Rodentia; Bathyergidae.